This 335-nucleotide ribosomal RNA is filed under the name uncultured Thermovirga sp. RNAcentral's name for it is "bacterial SSU rRNA". It matches the Rfam family "Bacterial small subunit ribosomal RNA", at positions 1046 to 1382 of the family's 1533-position model. The record is from RNAcentral. Lineage: Bacteria; Thermotogati; Synergistota; Synergistia; Synergistales; Thermovirgaceae.
UGGCUGUCGUCAGCUCGUGUCGUGAGAUGUUGGUUAAGUCCGCAACGAGCGCAACCCUGCAUUCAGUUGCCAUCGGUAAGGCCGGGCACUCUGGAUGGACUGCCGGCGACAAGCCGGAGGAAGGUGGGGACGACGUCAAGUCAUCAUGGCCCUUAUGUCCAGGGCGACACACGUGCUACAAUGGCCGGCACAACGGGAAGCGAAGGGGCGACCCUGAGCGGAUCCCACAAAAGCCGGUCUCAGUUCGGAUUGCAGUCUGCAACUCGACUGCAUGAAGUUGGAAUCGCUAGUAAUCGUGGAUCAGCCAAGCCGCGGUGAAUACGUUCCCGGGCCUU